RNAcentral lists this ribosomal RNA (223 nucleotides) under uncultured bacterium. Its description in RNAcentral is "partial 16S ribosomal RNA". It matches the Rfam family "Bacterial small subunit ribosomal RNA", at positions 943 to 1167 of the family's 1533-position model. The record is from RNAcentral.
GGUUUAAUUCGAAGCAACGCGAAGAACCUUACCAGGUCUUGACAUCUUCUGACAAUUCCAGAGAUGGAACGUUCCCUUCGGGGACAGAAUGACAGGUGGUGCAUGGUUGUCGUCAGCUCGUGUCGUGAGAUGUUGGGUUAAGUCCCGCAACGAGCGCAACCCUUAUUGUCAGUUGCCAUCAUUAAGUUGGGCACUCUGGCGAGACUGCCGGUGACAAACCGGA